AUGCCCGAUCCACACACGCCCCAUGCCUUGCCUCCCAUGGCGCCCGAAGCCAUGCCCCAUCGCCCCUCAAGUCGGCGAGUCCUGGCCACCCUAUGCGCGCGAUCACAUCGGCCUCCCCGUCCUCAGCUCCUCCUCCACCUCGCCUUGGCGCGCGAGCCCAUGUCCCGCCUCCUUCUCCCUUUGCAUCGCGCCCUCCUCCUCGAAGCUGGCCCCGCCGCCACCGCCCGGGCGAGCACCGCCCCUGAGCUCCUCGCCAUGGCCUCUCUUGCGCCUCCUCCAAACCUCCCUCCGUUUUCCUGCACUGCUGCAUCCCGCAGCCCAGCCGCCUCCUCAUCCAGCACCGCAUCGAGCUCGUCGGCCUCAGCCUCCUCUGCAUCGCACCUCCCGACGCCACCCCACCUCCAUCGCCCUGUUGCAGAUGCUCUUCCCAGCGCCGCCCAUCACCGCCACCCGGCCACCUCGUCGCCUCGCCGCCAUGGCUACUGCCUGUUCUGGAAUACCUGA
RNAcentral lists this ribosomal RNA (504 nucleotides) under Triticum aestivum (bread wheat). Its description in RNAcentral is "partial small subunit ribosomal RNA". Lineage: Eukaryota; Viridiplantae; Streptophyta; Magnoliopsida; Poales; Poaceae. The record is from RNAcentral.